UUUAACCAUAUCUGGAUGUUUUAGGAGC
This 28-nucleotide non-coding RNA is filed under the name Bombyx mori (domestic silkworm). Lineage: Eukaryota; Metazoa; Arthropoda; Insecta; Lepidoptera; Bombycidae. The record is from RNAcentral.